GAUGAAGAACGUAGCGAAAUGCGAUAAGUAGUGUGAAUUGCAGAAUUCAGUGAAUCAUCGAAUCUUUGAACGCACAUUGCGCCCCUUGGUAUUCCAUGGGGCAGGCCUGUUCGAGCGUCAUCUACACCCUCAAGCUCUGCUUGGUGUUGGGCGUCUGUCCCGCCCCCGCGCGUGGACUCGCCCCAAAUCCAUUGGCAGCGUUCCUUGCCCCCUCUCGCGCAGCACAUUGCGCUUCUCGAGGGCGGCUCCGGGACGCGAUCCAGCAAGAUGACCACCGUCUUUGACCUCGGAUCAGGUAGGGAUACCCGCUGAACUUAAGCAUAUCAAUAAGCGGAGGA
RNAcentral lists this unclassified non-coding RNA (338 nucleotides) under soil metagenome. RNAcentral describes it as "partial contains 5.8S ribosomal RNA, internal transcribed spacer 2, and large subunit ribosomal RNA". The stretch from base 1 to 120 matches the Rfam family "5.8S ribosomal RNA", at positions 35 to 154 of the family's 154-position model. The record is from RNAcentral.